Molecule: non-coding RNA, 280 nt
Organism: Phascolarctos cinereus (koala)
Lineage: Eukaryota; Metazoa; Chordata; Mammalia; Diprotodontia; Phascolarctidae
Source: RefSeq, a predicted model, not a curated record
UCAAGAGACAUUUAAUAAAGCACAAGCAGCUGAGGCAUUUCUGCAAAAACAAAACAUAACAAACCUAGACGUGGACAAGAUAUUUGACUUGCAAACACUCCCCCAAACAGAAGCACAAUAAGGUGAACAAAUGCAUUGUGUUGGACAAAACUGAAGAAUGAGUGGAUACAUAAAUGGGGAAAGGAGAGGUAGAAGAAAGAGAGAAAGGAGAAAGGAAGGCCUGGACCUGCAAUUUCACUAAUAUAGGGAACUCCCAGUGAGAAAAUUUCAUCAAUGUAAA